Molecule: ribosomal RNA, 474 nt
Filed under: uncultured bacterium
Lineage: Bacteria
Description: bacterial SSU rRNA
Rfam family: Bacterial small subunit ribosomal RNA
Source: RNAcentral
AGCAGAGCACUCCUACGGGAGGGCAGCAGUGGGAAUAUUGACAAUGGGCGCAAGCCUGAUGCAGCCAUGCCGCGUGUGUGAAGAAGGCCUUCGGGUUGUAAAGCACUUUCAGUAAGGAGGAAAGGUUAGUCACUAAUAUUGGCUAGCUGUGACGUUACUUACAGAAGAAGCACCGGCUAACUCCGUGCCAGCAGCCGCGGUAAUACGGAGGGUGCAAGCGUUAAUCGGAAUUACUGGGCGUAAAGCGAGUGUAGGUGGCUCAUUAAGUCACAUGUGAAAUCCCCGGGCUUAACCUGGGAACUGCAUGUGAUACUGGUGGUGCUAGAAUAUGUGAGAGGGAAGUAGAAUUCCAGGUGUAGCGGUGAAAUGCGUAGAGAUCUGGAGGAAUACCGAUGGCGAAGGCAGCUUCCUGGCAUAAUAUUGACACUGAGAUUCGAAAGCGUGGGUAGCAAACAGGAUUAGAUACCCUGGUAG